UGGAAUUCCAAUGGUUGGAGCUGAUAUAUGUGGUUUUUCAAGUAACACUACUGAAGAGCUUUGCCGCCGCUGGAUUCAGCUUGGAGCAUUCUAUCCAUUUGCAAGAGACCACUCUGCUAAGGACACAACCCCCCAAGAGCUCUAUAGUUGGGAUUCAGUUGCUGCAGCGGCCAAGAAAGUCCUUGGGCUCCGAUAUCAGUUACUUCCGUACUUUUAUAUGCUUAUGUACAAGGCACAUACAAAAGGGACUCCCAUUGCACGACCCCUCUUCUUCUCUUUCCCUCAAGAUGCCAAGACAUUUGAUAUCAGCACGCAGUUCCUUCUCGGUAAAGG
RNAcentral lists this unclassified non-coding RNA (333 nucleotides) under Hevea brasiliensis (rubber tree). Lineage: Eukaryota; Viridiplantae; Streptophyta; Magnoliopsida; Malpighiales; Euphorbiaceae. The record is from RNAcentral.